AAUAACCCUGGGAAACCGGGGCUAAUACCGCAUAAGCCCGAGAGGGGAAAGUCGAAAGACGCUGGAAGAGGAGUCCGCGGCCGAUUAGCUAGUUGGCAGGGUAAAAGCCUACCAAGGCGAAGAUCGGUAGCCGGCCUGAGAGGGCACACGGCCACACUGGCACUGAAACACGGGCCAGACUCCUACGGGAGGCAGCAGUGGGGAAUCUUGCACAAUGGGGGAAACCCUGAUGCAGCGACGCCGCGUGAGCGAUGAAGCCCUUCGGGGUGUAAAGCUCUUUCGGCAGGGAAGAUGGUGACGGUACCUGCAGAAGCAGCUGCGGCUAACUACGUGCCAGCAGCCGCGGUAAUACGUAGGCAGCAAGCGUUGUUCGGAGUUACUGGGCGUAAAGGGUGUGUAGGCGGUUGUUUAAGUUUGGUGUGAAAUCUCCCGGCUCAACUGGGAGGGUGCGCCGAAUACUGAAUGACUCGAGUGCGGGAGAGGAGAGUGGAAUUCCUGGUGUAGCGGUGAAAUGCGUAGAUAUCAGGAGGAACACCGGUGGUGUAGACGGCUCUCUGGACCGUAACUGACGCUGAGACACGAAAGCGUGGGUAGCAAACAGGAUUAGAUACCCUGGUAGUCCACGCCCUAAACGAUGCAUAUUUGGUGUGGGCCGUUCAGUCGGUCCGUGCCGGAGCUAACGCGUUAAAUAUGCCGCCUGGGGAGUACAGUCGCAAGGCUGACACUCAAAGGAAUUGACGGGGGCCCGCACAAGCGGU
This 758-nucleotide ribosomal RNA is filed under the name uncultured Acidobacteriota bacterium. RNAcentral describes it as "bacterial SSU rRNA". It matches the Rfam family "Bacterial small subunit ribosomal RNA", at positions 142 to 933 of the family's 1533-position model. Lineage: Bacteria; Pseudomonadati; Acidobacteriota. The record is from RNAcentral.